This 5484-nucleotide long non-coding RNA is filed under the name Podarcis lilfordi (Lilford's wall lizard). The record is from RNAcentral. Lineage: Eukaryota; Metazoa; Chordata; Lepidosauria; Squamata; Lacertidae.
AUGGACAUCUAAAAAUAAAAAGCUUGCAGGCUGACCUCGCAGGGAACUGCUGGUGUGGAGAAGAGAUUGAUGGCUUCCUCGGGGGAAGAAGCCUGCCCUUUUUUUGUGUUCCUUAGGAAAGCAUUGCCUAUGGAUGUUCCUAGCCAUUCCCAGAAUUCCACCGUACCAGAGGCGCCGAGUUCUACCCGACACUGGGGGGGGGGGGUCGACUCGUCAGGUGCGUGUGACACACAUGGGUGACAGAACCGCUAGGCCCACAUUGGGUGCCAUCCGUUAAGGAAAAUCCUGGGUUGAGAGGAUUUUCAACAGCCCAUCUCGUUGGGGUACAAGUCCCCCGUGGGUCCAUGCGGUCUGUAAAAGAAGGAAAUUCCAGCCAAGCAAUUUUGGAGCAAAACAGCAGUCAGUAAACUUAGAUCAGGGGUCAGCAAACUUUUUCAGCAGGGGGCCGGUCCACUGUCCCUCAGACCUUGUGAGGGGCUGGUCUAUAUUUUGCGGCAGGGAAUGAACAAAUUCCUAUGCCCCACAAAUAACCCAGAGAUGCAUUUUAAAUAAAAGGACACAUUCAACUCAUGUAAAAACACCAGGCAGGUUCCACAAAUAACCCAGAGAUGCAUUUUAAAUAAAAGGACACAUUCUACUCAUGUAAAAACACGCUGAUUCCUGGACCGUCCGCGGGCCGGAUUUAGAUGGUGAUUGGGCUGGAUCCGGCCCCCGGGCUUUAGUUUACUUACCCAUAACUUAGAUCCUUUAUUGUUGUGCAACAGGUUUAACAGCAGUGAGUGAACCUAGAGCAUGGGGCGACACUGACUUUUAAAACUUUCCCACCAUAUCCCAGAAUACAGUUCACAUAGCAUCAUCAAUACACCAUUGCUAUAUCACUAACAUGUCACAAAAGGGAGGGUUACACAAGAUUAGCAUAGACAGAUAUGUCAGGACAACACCCAAGUAUAAGAUGAGCAUAGGCAAACGUGUUUUAAGUACCCACCACCCAAAAGUACGAUAGAACUUCCUUUGAAUGUCUGGAGCCUGAGGCAAGUCCGGUGAUGAGAUCUGGCUUCCCUUAGAGAACAAUGAGCCCAGCAAUUGUCCCCUCUGGGCAUUUCCUGGGGUAGGAGGUGUGUAUACAUGUCUUCAAGCUUGGGGAGGUGGCAGGGGAAAGAGUCCUUUUUCCAAGGGCAAAAUGGAGUUGGAAUGGAGGAACUUGGCAAAGGGGUUGAUUUUAUAUGAUUCAUAAAGCUAGGUAUCUUCCCUGACCUGUCAAGUCGAAAGAAUACAUUCAGGCAUAAUAUCUGUAACAUUUAACAACUUUAAAGAUGGCGGGGGGUGCCUGUAAUUUCCAUAACAGGAAGGAGACCACAGGGCCCGCUGCCACCAUGGGGAGGCCUGGGAAGGUCUGACUCUGCUGGCUAGGAGGGCUGGUGAGCCUGCCGCUGCUGCAGGGUGGCCCGCAAAAGCCCAGACCCUCAAGAUUGGCUGUGGAACAUUGGACUUGGCUUACUAUAUUGAACCUGGACCAUUUUUUCUUGACCUGUUGGACUUGCUAGCAUUCACCCUUGGGACUGUGUACACCAGCAGGACUUGCCACCAGGUACACCAGGCUUCAAGGGCACAGUCCCAAAGAGCAUCCAGUGUGGUGUAGUGGUUAAGAGCGGUGGACUCGUAAUCUGGUGAACCGGGUUCGUGUCUCCGCUCCUCCACCUGCAGCUGCUGGGUGACCUUGGGCUAGUCACACUUCUUCGAAGUCUCUCAGCCCCACUCACCUCACAGAGUGUUUGUUGUGGGGGAGGAAGGGAAAGGAGAUGGUUAGCCGCUUUGAGACUCCUUCGGGUAGUGAUAAAGCGGGAUAUCAAAUCCAAACUCAUCCUCCAGCCACUUCUCAAGGUGAAGCUAUGCAGAUCUGGGCCAGUGUAGUUUCCAGUGGCAACCUUCUUCUGGUCUCCAGAGCAAAAUAAAUACCGUAUUGACCAGAAUAUAAGCCACACCUGAAAAUAAGCUGCACCUUUAAAAUUGGAGGGGGGGAUACCCAAAUAUAAGCCACUCCAUUCAUCACUGCUCUUGGCUGCAUACUGGGCGGGGGGGAGCCAUACUGCGUUGCCAGCGCCUUUCCCCUUCCUUGCUCUCUCCUUUCCCAGCUUUGGGGGGAAAGGACAGGGGACUACACACUUUGCCGCACUCCUAGCACUGUUUGCCCUGCGCUCCUGGCUGCAUACCGUAAGGUCGCGAAUAUAUUUUUUUCAAAAAAAUUUAUUCAUUUUAUAACACAAAUAAAAAACACAAACAGAAAAGACAAACAAUACAAACAAAUUCUUGUCAUAGCCUUAUUUUUCUGAACAUUGUUAAGUGGGCUUCCCCAAGUCCCACCUAUCUGAUUUUCAUUUUACUUCAUCUUUAGCAGUUUACAUAUAUCAUAAUUUCUAACCAUUUUUUUCAGACUUACUUAAACCAUAAAAAACUUCACAUGUUAUCACUUAUAAAAUACACUAUCUUCUACUUCUAACCCUACCGCCUAUAUCCACUUCCAAAGCUAUUCUAAGAUUUAAACAUUAACAUAUUUUUUCAAAUAUUCCUUAAACUUCUUCCAAUCUUUUUCCACCGUCUCUUCUCUCUGGUCUCGGAGUCUCCCGGUCAGUAAGGUCGCGAAUAUAAGUCACACUUUAACUUUUCACGGUCGGAAUUUGGGGGGAAAGUAAGGCCAAUAUGGUAAGUUGCCAUUUGCAAACAGGGAUAGAAAAGCACCUCUCUCUUUCUCUCUUGAGACCCUGGAGACUCAACUGCCCAUCAAAGGAGACAUAGCUGAACAAGAUAGGGUGAUGCUCUGACUAGCUAGGUGGAAGCUUCCUCUCUUCGUGUGACAUCAGGGGAAUCAAAAGAAUUUGUCCAGGUUUCAAGAGGGCAACCCAAGAGUGGAGGGAACAAAAUAUCCUGGCCCAGGAAGAAGCCUUUCUGAUUCUUGUAAUAAUCAGGUGUCUGGGGCAAGCUCAAAGCCAGAAUUGAAUUCUGUUAUCUUUGAGAGUGGAUUAGCUUGCCCUCUAGAGGCAAUCUGGAGACAGGAGCAAUCCCUGGUUCUCUGGCGUCAAGAGUUUGCACAUGAAAAGCAUUCUGCCACCUCCUAUACGGCUCCUUCUCCAGAAUCGUGUUCUCACAGUGGCCAAACAAAUGCCACAAGCAGGACCUGAUCGCAAGAGCAUUCUCCCCUCCUGUAGCUUCCAGCAACCGGUAUUUAAAUGCAUUACUGCCUCUGACCAUGGAGGCAGAGAGUAGCCAUUGUGGCUAGCAGCUUUUGAUAGCCCUCUCCUCCCUGAAUUUGUCCAAUCCUCUUUGAAAUCCACCCAUCACUGCCUUCUUGUGGGAGUGAGUUCCACAGGUUAACUAUGCACUUUGUGAAGAUGUCCUUCCUUUGCUCUGCCCUGCACCUUCCAACAUUCAGAUUCACUGGAGUUACGAUCGGCAGUUUCAGUUCCUUUCCUGAUGAUCCCGUUUGCCUUUUCCACAGCUACCACACACCAGGUCGACAUUUUCAUCCAGCUGUCCCUUGCUGCCCCUGCUGAUCUUGCCAAGUGGGGCUGAUGGGGUAAUCACAGUUUCAAACCUCUGGAGGGUGCCAGCUUGGGAGAAGGCUGAUCUAGUGUGCCAAAAACACACAGCGACAUAAGUGCCUUGGAGAAGGCACUGACCCCUGUCAUUUCAGAAGAAGCCACAGUAGCCCCUGAAGCAACUGAUUGGCUGGCUAACGGCCCCCCAUUCUAGAGGUCAGGACUGUGGCAAUCACACAGGGUCCCCGGACAUUUAACGGUCUAUUGAUCCCUGUGCCACCACUGUGAUUGCCUCCUCGCUGCCACCAACCCGUUUCUCUUGGGUACACACGGAGUCCAGACAGUUGUUAACAUUAACAAAUAAUCAAGUUUAUUUUAUAAGCAUGAACAAGUUUAUGGUUUCAGUUAAUUUUUUGUGGCAGUUUCUUAAUCUUAGUUUCUUUACUGACCUAUACGUUCCUAACAACUUCAAACUGAUUAUCCCAACUGUUAUGUACUGAAGUUCUCACCCUGGGCCAGCAGGGGGAUACCGUAGAUAGUUAUGCAAAUGAAGGAUCGAAAGUGACGUUCAGUGAUUGGGUAGUUUUAGAAAGUUGUUACAGUAACAUGGUACUGGAGCUCUAUAUAAGCAGGCUGACUGAGCCCUUCAGUUCAGUUCUGUCCUGGCCUGUGAAUAAACAAGAGCUGUUUGAAGAAUCACUGUGAUAUGUUCACCCACAACUUAACACCAACUAUCUAUCUGACUCCACCUAACAGUUCCUCUCACUCUCUCACAUUAAAACUAGACCAACCCACAGACUUAUCCUCCCUCUUCCUUCUCCAACUCCCAACUGAUUCCUUAACAACUCCAACUCUAACUCCUCCCCUUGGGUUCCCACUGGCCAAUCACUUCACACUCAUUUAACCCUUUCCUUAUGACCCAGCAUGAUGUCACCUGGGAGGGCAAACGCCACAAGGACCAAGAGCCAUUUGAUCUCCAUGGGCUGCCAGAGACACAGCUGGAAAAGGGAGGAGGCAAAGGCAUGACACCAGCAUUACAAAUGAAAAAAUGAGGCGAGAGUACCCAGGACAGCUCUUGAUCUUUUCGUGCGCUAUUUCGGAAUGCUCUCUCCAAACCUUGACUGAGGCCACAUGACUCACGAUGGGUGGCUCUGCGAUUCAGGCAGUUGUGGGAAGAUUAAAUCAGGAACAGGGGCCAAUGGUAGCAAAGGAUCCAAGUGUCUUUCUUUUGCAGCACUUUCCCUGCUCAAUAUACCCCCCCCCCAUGUGUGUGAAAAGGUAAUGGGACCUCACACUGAAGAUGGACGAACUCUUGGAUGAAUCAAACCUAGAGAGUCCAAGUCAAAGAAGUGCCCUCUGUUCAGUUAACAGCCUCUUCUUAAUAAAUAAUGGUAAUAAUUUUAUUAUUUGUACCCCGCCCAUCUGACUGGGUUGCCCCAGCCACUCUGGGCGGUUUCCAACAAAUAUACAGUGGUACCUCGGGUUACAUAUGCUUCAGGUUACAUACGCUUCAGGUUACAGACUCCACUAACCCAGAAAUAGUGCUCCAGGUUAAGAACUUUGCUUCAGGAUAAGAACAGAAAUCGGGCUUUGGCGGUGCGGCGGCAGCAGGAGGCCCCAUUAGCUAAAAUGGUGCUUCAGGUUAAGAACAGUUUCAGGUUAAGAACGGACCUCCGGAACGAAUUAAGUACUUAACCCGAGGUACCACUGUAAAAGCAUAAUAAAACAUCAAACAUUAAAAAGUUCCCUAAACAGGGCCAAGUGGGGAUUCGAACCCUGGUCUCCAGGGUCCCAGUCAGACACGACAUCCACUACGCCAUGCCUGCUGUUCUCACCCAUGUAUACCCCACACAUCUUCCACAUGCGCAGCCUAUAGCCACAUCUACGCCUUACAUUUAAAACACUCUUCUGCCACUGCAAAGCUCAUGGUUUCACCCCAAGGAAUGCUGGG